This 25-nucleotide non-coding RNA is filed under the name Rattus norvegicus (Norway rat). The record is from RNAcentral. Lineage: Eukaryota; Metazoa; Chordata; Mammalia; Rodentia; Muridae.
UUGCAGAUAUUUUUAUCUUUGAUCU